Molecule: small nuclear RNA, 104 nt
Organism: Manis pentadactyla (Chinese pangolin)
Lineage: Eukaryota; Metazoa; Chordata; Mammalia; Pholidota; Manidae
Source: RefSeq, a predicted model, not a curated record
GUGCUCGCUUCAGCAGCACAUAUACUAAAAUUGGAACGAUACAGAGAUUAGCAUGGCCCCUGCAUAAGGGUGACAUGCAAAUUUGUGAAGUGUUCCAUAAAAAA